Molecule: ribosomal RNA, 253 nt
Filed under: uncultured bacterium
Lineage: Bacteria
Description: partial 16S ribosomal RNA
Rfam family: Bacterial small subunit ribosomal RNA
Source: RNAcentral
UACGUAGGGUGCAAGCGUUAAUCGGAAUUACUGGGCGUAAAGCGUGCGCAGGCGGUUUUGAAAGUCUGAUGUGAAAUCCCCGGGCUCAACCUGGGAAUUGCAUUGGAGACUGCAAGGCUAGAAUCUGGCAGAGGGGGGUAGAAUUCCACGUGUAGCAGUGAAAUGCGUAGAGAUGUGGAGGAACACCGAUGGCGAAGGCAGCCCCCUGGGUCAAGAUUGACGCUCAUGCACGAAAGCGUGGGGAGCAAACAGG